This 505-nucleotide ribosomal RNA is filed under the name uncultured bacterium. Its description in RNAcentral is "partial 16S ribosomal RNA". It matches the Rfam family "Bacterial small subunit ribosomal RNA", at positions 28 to 507 of the family's 1533-position model. The record is from RNAcentral.
GACGAACGCUGGCGGCGUGCCUAAUACAUGCAAGUAGAACGCACAGUUUAUACCGUAGCUUGCUACACCAUAGACUGUGAGUUGCGAACGGGUGAGUAACGCGUAGGUAACCUGCCUGGUAGCGGGGGAUAACUAUUGGAAACGAUAGCUAAUACCGCAUCAUAUUAAUUAUUGCAUGAUAAUUAAUUGAAAGGUGCAAUUGCACCACUACCAGAUGGACCUGCGUUGUAUUAGCUAGUAGGUGAGGUAACGGCUCACCUAGGCGACGAUACAUAGCCGACCGGAGAGGGUGAUCGGCCACACUGGGACUGAGACACGGCCCAGACGCCUACGGGAGGCAGCAGUAGGGAAUCUUCGGCAAUGGACGAAAGUCUGACCGAGCAACGCCGCGUGAGUGAAGAAGGUUGUCGGAUCGUAAAGCUCUGUUGUAAGAGAAGAACGGGUGUGAGAGUGGAAAGUUCACACUGUGACGGUAUCUUACCAGAAAGGGACGGCUAACUACGUG